Molecule: small nuclear RNA, 96 nt
Organism: Rattus norvegicus (Norway rat)
Lineage: Eukaryota; Metazoa; Chordata; Mammalia; Rodentia; Muridae
Source: Ensembl
GUACUAGAUUUGGCAGCACAUAUAUAAAAUUGGAACAAUACAGAGAUUAGCAUCCUACACAAGGAUGACAAGAAAAUUUGUGAAUCCAAAUUUUAU